CAUGCGGAAGGAUCAUUA
Molecule: ribosomal RNA, 18 nt
Filed under: Hyphoderma setigerum
Lineage: Eukaryota; Fungi; Basidiomycota; Agaricomycetes; Polyporales; Hyphodermataceae
Also listed under: 1 other name
Description: partial 18S ribosomal RNA
Source: RNAcentral